Molecule: long non-coding RNA, 12192 nt
Filed under: Lathyrus oleraceus (garden pea)
Lineage: Eukaryota; Viridiplantae; Streptophyta; Magnoliopsida; Fabales; Fabaceae
Description: Pisum sativum (pea) long non-coding RNA (PSAT_LNC008614)
Source: RNAcentral
CCUAAUAUCAGACAAAAAACUAAGAAAACAACAUGAAUAUAAAUAUGUAUAAACUUAAGUCUGCAAACAUUACAGUAUGCGGAAUAAAUAAUACAAUAAUGUUCUAAUGCACAUUAAAACAACAUAGUUUUUGUCUCUAUCGAUAAGUAAAUGGACAUCCACGAUCACCCAAACCUGUAAAUGAAUGGCACGGAGAGCUCAAACCCAUGCAUUCCAUUGUACUAUAGUUCAACAAAAUAUCAAAACUUCAACAACAUAAGCAAAGCAACAGAAAAUUCAUUUACAGAUUCUAACUGAGUGUGUACCUGGCAUAAAUAUCUGCCACAUCAAAUAAUCCUUGGCUCUAUACACUGCGCAGGGAGAAUCAUCCUCCAUGUCCAGACAAAACCAGGCAUGCCCCUUCGCCAGCAGUACUCCUGUAAUAUAGAGCUUCUCACAGGACAACUGUCUGGCCUUGAAUGGAGGUCCUCUUAUCAAUGACUUCAACAUUAACUCUGGGCAUUUCUGACCCAGUAGCUUACAGGCUCCAUAAUCACUGGCAAGAGACAUCCAAAGGGAUCGCAUUGUCUCGAGUUUACCGCAUUGGCCAAGAGAGCCUUGUCGCCAAAGGGGCAGUCCCUAUCUCUAGCUUCUAAGAUUACACACCCGGACAGCUAUAAUGGAGACCCAAAUCGCUCUCUCCGGCAAAGGCAACAGAUAGCAUCUCCAGCGUCUUCGCAUGAGUCCAAUAUACUCAAAACACGAUCAGUUAGAAGGCCGAAAGGAAAGCGCUGAAGAUCCUUACAAUGCUCUACAAUACUCCAAAACCAGAAUCCAGUGGUUGAAGGUAAGAUAGUCAGGAGUUCAGGCUCCAGAAUACACAGGCGAAGCGAGUCAAUUAGGCCUAUUCUGCCAAUAGUAUUUAGAGCGCGUAGACAUUUGACGACAAAAAUAUAGAAUGGACUGGAGCUUUGGCAGCCUUUGAUACAGAAGCAAGACCCUGUUCUGUCAAUGCAAUAUUUGGUUCUAACCAAUGAUCAGAAGGAAACACCCUCAACUCCUGUAGAUAUUGCAGACAGCAACGACAUCAAGACCAGCAUCUCUGUAAUCAAGCACCUGUAUCAGCGGACUUAAUUAGCACACAAACUACAAAUGAUUUAAGUAUUGAACUGAGAUACACAAAACAUGGAACAGGCAAUACAUCGAAAAACAUCAUAUAAAUCCAACAUACCAAAACCGCAACAAAUUGGGGCAUGACCACAAGCUUGAUAAGAUCAGAGCUUUGAAUGACAGCAUAACUCAGGUUUAGUGAUGUAGCCUAGAGCAGACCGGAUUUAGUCCGGAAGGUAGGAUGGCAGAACUUGCCAAAAACCAGACAAGCUCUUCAAUGCUUGCACCCAGAAAUGCUGUUACAAGUUUAGAAGACCUCUGGGCGCAUCUCAGCUGAGUAGAUCCUGUGCCUAACUCAGCCAGCGAGGACAUCGGCCUAAGUAAGUUCGGCAGUUAUCAAGGCUGCAGCAUGAUUGAGACGAAGAGUCUGGAGGUUAGGACACCUACCAAGCAGCGCUCUAGUGCGGACAAACUCACCUCAUUGUUCAAGCAAGAAUGUUAAGUAAACUAAGAUGUGUAGAAUCAGAAUGCUAGCAAUGCCCACUAGGUCUCCAUUCACUCUCCUGCAAGUUCAAUUCCUUCAAAUCCUACAAUCAUAGGGACACAGUCUUAUCAAUGACACUUCAGAAACCACUAUCUUCUAUGAUUAUAAGAAGCAACGAUGUAUAACUGAAUCACACGAACCAAUUUAACAUCUAUAGCAACUGUCAAACUCAGUAUUAUCAAGAUAUAUCCAUUAGCAAAAGUUUUAAAAAGCAUACUUCUGAUUAAAACCUCACUGAACAUGAAAUAUUCUAUAUUUACAAACUGUAAGAGAUUUAAGUGAAUAUAUUUCUUUAACCAUAAAAAAGUGAAUCAAAAUAAAAAAUGGAAUAAAUCAGCAUUACUAAGCAAAAAUUGAAAGAGCCAACCAUGUCAUAAAUUACUUAAGUUAUAAACUAGUCCUUUAAAUAAAUAAAAGAAGUAUUUAUUCCCUCCAUCAAAAAAUUUAUACACAGUGGACUUUAAUCGUCCUUGCUAUAUCAUUUAAACAGCAUAAACCUUGAAAUGUGGAUCAUAAUUUGACAAAAUUACUAAUAAUUGAUUUGUUCAAUUUAAGGGAGUAUAUCCUAAUACACAAAUUUAAUGACCUAAUUGACGGCCUUUACAAUUUAUUACUAGCAACCAAAUAAUAUCAUGUUUUAAAAUCAAGUAUAAUCCUUAUCACAGAAAACUGCUUCCUAAAUGAGGUGUUUCUUUUAAAAACUUUCAGUCUUAUCUCUUUGUUUCCCAAUAAUCAAUUUGAACCAAACCAACAUACCCCAAUACGAAAAAGAAGAAAAAAAGCUAUCAUUGAUCCGUGCGGGAGGAAAAAUAAUGUGUCAUGACUCGUGAAGGCUUAAUAGAAGGAAAGGGGAUCUACAUGAAAAAGAAUAAAUAUAAAUAGUAAAAAUAAUACAUUUCAAUAUUACGAAUCCAUAAAAUAAAAUAAAACAUCCAAAAUUCACUGUACGAAAAAAAUCCAAAAUAUAUGGGAAAAAUCAUUUUUUACUGUAUAGUAUUCAAAGAAAUAUACAUGAAUCAAAUCUGACCAAUGACCACAAAAGUUCAGUAAGUUAAAACUCACAUGGCUAAAGACGAUAGUACCUUCAUCAUAAUUGCUAAUAGAACACUAAAGCAAAAGCACAAAGCAAAGAUCCAAACUGAGAUUGUUCAAUCAAUCAUAUCACAUUCACUUCAGUCACAUCAACGAAACAUAGAAUAACCAAAUGAGAAGAAUUGGAAGUAAAAAAACCUGCAUUAGAAGCAAUGGCGGCAAGGUCCUUCCGUAGCUAAACCCUCACACGAAUAGAACCAAAAUUUAAAAUUCUUAAACGAUUAGCAAUAAGCUCAAGUUCAUCCGUAUAACCAUCCUCUUAGCCGAAUCUCUUCGAGAACGGGCAAACCACAGCAGCCCGCCGGACUAACGAAACCUCCCCAACCUCAGGCACCAAAUUGAAGUCCGCAAAGUGGCGGUUCCCUUCAACGAAAUGGAUCUCAACUCCGGGAACCUUUCGUCACCGUACAGACUAACAGCGUAGCAGUUUCCGCACAAAUCUGCUCCUGCACCAACCGUUCGUUCUCGUACACGACUUACACACUAGAGAAUGAGUUUCGGUCUUUGUCACAUUGAAUGAACAGAACACUACUCGAGAACUUCUCAGGAAUGUUCGUCAUUUUCUGCAUGUGUAGAACGAAACGCGUGUUAGCUGGUCAGAACUUGGAAAUGAAGCUGUGAGAACGAAGGUGCAGUUAUGAAGUUUAGAUCUGAACACCAUUAACGAGCUUAAAGUGUUGUGUUAAUGUCUGUGAGAAAGAGAAAGAUAGAUAGUUUAUGUUGAGUUUGAGUGAGGUUAGAAAUUAACUAUGGUAAAUAAGUGAUGAUAUGAUCUUGAUGUGUGAGUUUAUUCGAGAGGUUAUUGCAAUAUAUAAGGAGAACUGUUGAGAAGUUAAUGUGACCGUUGAUGAGGUAAGAAUUGAUUUAUCCGUUGAGGGAGAUCGAGAUAGCCGCAAAAACGGUGUGUGGAAACGUGGUACUAAAGGCGACGCUAUUUUCAGUUCUCCAGAGUUGUUGAAACGAGAAAAACCGACAUGGUUUCUUCUGUGAAUAAUGAAUAUAUCUCUCCAUUUCAAAAAAAGGAAAAAAUGAGAUUUUUUAAGUUAACAAAUUAAAAUAGGGAUCUUAUGUUGUGCAAUCCAUUCUAUUUUAUUAAAAAAAAAAGAAAUUGAUUUAAAAAAAAAUUGUAAAAAAAUGUAAUGCAAUUAUAUCACUCCAUUAUAAAAUAAUACGCUUCAUGUCUGCUUACUUAGUAUAAAGUAAUAAUUGAUAGUUGUUAUCAUUAACUCUUGAUCAAAACAUGCAAAUAUUGAAUUCUAUUAACUAAAAUAUAAAGCAGUAGAUUCAUACUUGCUUAUGCAAUGAUCAAUAGCAUUUCAAGUUUUAAAACUCCAAAGCAGUCAGUGUGCCGAAAAAAAUCAUACUUAUAUUAUUUAGCAUGCUUGUUCAGGAAGAAUGUCCAACUGCCUGCUUUAAAAAUUAACAUCACUUAAAAAGAAAGAGAGAAUUAUAAGACUUUAGAUUAAUAUCCAGUUAAAACUGAUAGUAGGGUGUACAGUAAGAGUAGAGAUGUAUUGAAAAAAAUAAGAUAAAAAAUUAAAUAAAUUUGUAUAUUGAAACAAUGAUUAUAUGGAAAUAUAAGUUAUAAUUCAUAUUGUUAGAAAAGUAGAGGUGAGCAUAAAAGUGAGAGGAGGUCAACACCUAUCACUUAGGUGGUGAAUAUUCGGGUGCCUCUGCACACUUUUGUUACUUUUGAUGCAUAGGAUUUCACCUGAAUCCAAUAGUGGAUCAGAGCCUAGCGACGUAAGGGAUUCGGCUCCUUAUGUCAGAAAGUCUUUGAAAAGGUGGUCCAGCACAGUUCUACUGGAAGUACUAUGACGAGUGAGGGUGUUGGCCACAACGUACCAAGCAUUCCGAUGAUAGAGCUUCCGACUUGAGGGAAGCAUAAUGGAUGACCCAAUUUGAAGGGAGAUUGUUGGAAUAAGUGUGAGUUGUGUGAGAACAAAUGAAGUUUUAAGUCUUCACAUUGUUUUGAAAAGUGAAGGUGAGUACUUAUAAGCUGAGAUGAUCCAUCCAGCUCCAUAUAUCAUUCAGGUGAUGAUGCUCGUGUCUCUGCUUCACUUGUGAUGCUUGCUCUUGAUCCAAUGUGGUCCUCAUGGUACCCAACACGACAAAGGUACGCGAACAUAAACCAAAAAAACACUAAACGAAGAGCGUAACUUACCCCCAAUCCUCGAUAACACCAAUAGCUAAUCAUCAUGUGCAUCCUUAUAAAUGGAUCCUGUACCAAACGGCAACAUAGAAUCAUAAGCAAAAAAGCAGAGGGACAUACAUCAUAAUUCCGCUAUGCAAUAAACUAGCAAUCUUCAAUUCACGAUAUCAAACUAAUUCUCAUCAACCAAUAUACAACCUCUGCAUAAUGCAGUGUAUUUUCUACUAGUCUCAUGCCAUGUAGGUACCAUGUACAACUUGACCAAAAGUCCCUACAACUGAUACAGAAUAGGUUACCCAGGGGAUUAUCCACUGAGCCGAAGUCUCUAAACUGGACAAAAUCAAAGUUAUUCUUCAUAUCACAUUUAACAGCAACACAUCAAACAAAUCACACAAUCACACGCGAACUCUCUACUCCAUAAAUAUCAAAACACUAAGUCACAACUGAAAUCAUUAACACUGGACUGAAGCCACAACAAUGGUUCCUCGAACCAACACACAACACUGCUCAAUAUUUUUCAUCAACAUCAACACAUCACACACAACUUAUGUCACAUCAAUACUUAUAAAGCGAACUUCAUAAUACUGCUCAAAUUAUAGUUCUAUUAAUCCAUAUCAUACAUACUCGACUAAUUAUUUAAAUCUAAACCAGCACGAGCAGCUCACACUCAUUCUAGAAUUCUCAGAGAUACUAUUUAAGAUAUAUUUUUAUCUCUACAGCACUAACACCAAUCUGUUAUUCUUAAUUCAAACAUUCAAGAAACGGCGUACGGAAUUCGGCCACAACAGUUUUGCACUGACUUCAAAAUAGCGCAUCCAAGACGUAUAUAUAUUAUAAAUGAAUUUUCCAAUUGAAAAUAAAAUUAAACCCCUUUUCAAUGCACUUGAACACACGUCAAAACAAUUAGAAACCUAGUUUAUUGUUCCCUUCACACCUCUAUCGCAAAUAUUUCCGUUAACUCUAAAACAGAAUUUCCUAAUUAUAAACUGAAUUAGAUAAACCAUGAACUUCCAAUCGAAAGAUAUCAUUAAAUUAUACUCUCUCAACGAACUGAACUCCAAACACACCACGGAUGCUCAGAUAAGACGAUAAUCCUUUUAGGUCCUACUCAUUUAGUUUUACUACAACAGAUGAACACUAUCAUACAGGCUUUUGAGUUCUCCACCCCAAAAACACACCCACGGAACACACUACUCUUUGUACAUAAACAACUCAUAACUAUCAAAUCCUACUACAAGCCCGAAAAGUUGAUAAAUAAACCUCUCACUAAGAAUUGCCUACUCUAAAAAUAUAUUAACAUCAAAAUCAACUAUAAGUCAGUAUAACCUUCACUUCAACUAAUUAUUGCAAAGACUCUAAAACAAUCAAAAACAUAACUUAAACCCUCAAACUAAUACAACAAUUUAGUGUCACAUUCAAAACCACUCAUCCCGUUAUACCAACACCCGGUACAUACCAAGUAUAACUCCAAAGGUCACCAUCGUGACAAUUAUAAGCAAUUUUCCUAAAGAUGCAACGAGUCUCAUUCCAUAACCCUCGCCUUAACCACAUUCCACUCAUCCGUGCACAACGGCCUUCUCCAAACUCCUCGUUUAAACCUACUAAUAUAUGCUCAAUAAUAAUAAUAACUCUCCUCACUACAACAAUUAACACAAAAUAAAACAUCAGUUCACAUUAAGACAUACUGACAAUUAAUUUACCCACAGUAAUCCAUAUUCAGGUUCCAUGCAAUCCAAGCGCGUUAUAAUCAGGACAUCAAAACUCAUACAUAUCACAUGAUGAAUACGAAAUCAACCUGAACUACACACAAAAAUAAUAUCUAUCACCACGUAAGAGCUUCCCAACCAUCUCAAGUCCAAAAUUUCAUGAAUGGAACACAAGAAAAAAAACGGAAAAAGAGGAAACAUAAUCCUCUACUAUCCUCGCCUUAAACAUCAUAGUAUGAAAACUUCGCUCCCUCCCCUUCUCGACUUCGAGAAAGGUUACUAUGAAUUUUCUCUUAUUGCUUUCAAAACUCUUAGGAUUGCCCCUUUCCUCCUAAGCUUUCUCCCAAACACGUCCAUGACACUCUCUCCUUUUUUCAUCAUUAAAUAAACUUAAUCAUUUUUUUUAUUAACGAUACCUAAUUUCAAUUCUUAACUUAAUUCUACACUCCCUAUAUAAUUAACAUCUUCUCUACUCUCUCUUCCUUAUUAUUUAAUAUAAAAUAUUAACUAACAACUCUGUAUAUUAAACUAUUCUCGCUUCAAAUACACUAAUUUAAAAUUCUACCCUCCAUAUAGUAAUUGAAAUAACUUAAAUAAUCCAAAGCCUCUCAAAAAUCAAUUAAAGUAAAUAUCAAUAAUCGUUGGUUACAUAUGGAUCAAAUUACCUCAUAACGGGUGGAAUUGAAUGAAGAAAUUUCUGUAUCAAAGUGAAUAUGAACGGUCUUAUAUAGUAUAUAAUAUACAUGCCGACUGUUAUGACAUCGCAAGGAAUGCACUUCAAGCAGUCGGAGAAAGAAAAAAAAACGAUUAAAUUAACAAAGCGAUAAACUUAACUACUCUCUUUGUAUAUCAAUACAAUAUUUAUCACUGAAUUGUGCUUAAUAUAUUAACCAGAUAAGGGAGCAGACAUGGAAGAUUGUUAGGUCUUCAAAAAAAUAGGAACUACGUGAAUAAUUAAAGCUAUUUUCAGGUAAACAUAUAUGCCGCAAUUUCUAUUUUAGUGAAAAAAUGUCAUGCCAUAAUCAGACCAGCAAUAAAAGUUAAUUAACUAUUAUUGAUCUUGGAUACUAACAAGUGACUGGGACAUAUUCUUUCUAUGUCCAACCCCUAAUUAUCCAAUUACCCAAAAGGCCAUAACUAGUGAACCUAAUUUUACCCCUAUGCACACACAGAAACCAAAAUAAACUUUACAUGGAACACAAUGCUAAUGAUAUUGAAGUUGCAUUGGAAUUAAAUAAUGGAUUAAUUGUGAGACUAUAUCACAAAUCUGCAUAGUAUGUGUAGUGGGAUGAAUAAACUAAAAAUUCAUGCUGAACAGUAAUUCCAUCUCAUACACAGAGCUGAUAAACAUCCAAGAACCACCUCUAUACAAUGCAUAUAGCCGUUGUUCUGUCCUCUCCAAAUAUGAUUUUUGAUUGGCUUAUCAACUUAGAAAUCAUGCUCUGGAAUAUUCAUAGGAGCUUUAGUAGAACACUAACGGCAUGUCAGAUCUUAUAUAAACAUCCCCAUUUGUGUUUGUGUGAUGACUCUCAUGUGCAUUUGCUAGGGCUUAAGUUUAGCAUUUUGUUCCUAUUAUAAUUUGUGAAAUUCAGAGCUAGAUGCACCGGUGUAUCUUGCACUUUUAUGUUGAAACACAAAUCACGUCUUUAAGAUAGAUGUCUGAUCAAACUUUACUUUCUUUAUAAGCGAAGCAUUGGUUAUAUAUAUAUUAACUGAAUAUCAUAUCUUAAAACUACCAACUUCUUUGUUUUACCUCUCCCAAGAAAUAUUGUUGGCUUGUCUUGCUUAUAGUUGGUAUCUAAAUGAUUAGUGGUUUUUCUCUGAUAGAUUGUGGCAAUACUCUACGCCAGACUCGCUUAAAUGAUAUUUUAAUUCAGUGAAAACCACUCUCUGUUGGCAAUGAACCAUCUCGCACUCUCAGAGAUUUCCAAAGCCAUGCAAUUGCGAAUAUUCAUUUUCCACUCCAUAAUUUGUAUGAGACAUUGAUAUUAUAUGGAUAAUUUAAUGCGUCCCGCCACAAUCACGGUUAUUUCAUUUGUGUGAUAUUUGGAGGAAUCUAAUUCAGUAACAAAACUCCUUCCAAAACACACUCACUUCUCGGUGAAUCUAGAAAUAUUUUACACUCUACCAAACAAGCUUUUGUGGUUUUUUAAUAUAUCAACUCGUAAUUUAUGCUUUGAAGUUCUCUACGAGAAUUGAAAAGGUCAAGUAGAUGAUGUUUCAUUAUAAUUCAGAUCGUCUAGUUGUGGUUUUAAAACUCUUUGGAUUGUAUACAUGUUUCAUCAGAAGUUGUUAUGUUAGCUUUCAAGCAUUUUCAUAGUUUUUUAUGCUUUUGGAAUCAUGGUUAAAAACUCGAUUUGCGAGAGAUCCGUCUCUCAAAAACCCAGAAGUUUAUUCAGAGAAUGAGUCAUAUACUCAAUUCUUUAUGCAUCUAUGUGGCUUAUAUUCAAAUCUCCCUUAUUUAAUUCGCUCUUCGGUUAAUUGUUUUAUUUUGUUUGGAGUAAUUAUUGAGAGAUGAUCAUGGUAUGGGACAUGAAUCAUUUUAUGAAAUACAUGAGUAUUCUUUAUUUUCCGCUGCGAACGCAUAUUGCUUGAAUAUUCAUGUUGAACGAAAUGUGUUAUUUUGAAUGACCAGGUGUAUUGUUGGUUUUUGAAAAUUUUAAGUUUCGAAAACGUCGAUGUGACGCCCUUUUCUUUGUAUGCGUGCUUAUUUACUCUGAUUAUAUGCUAAAUAAUUUGAGAUAGAAAAAGGGGUGCUACAACCUGCCAUAGCCAAUCCAAUUGGCGCCUCCAUUCAAGAAAAAUUUGAUAUCAAAAAUUUCAUAAAAUACAAAAUUUAUGCAAUUUUAUCAAAUGUUUUAAAAAUUGUUAUGAGUUUUUUUCAAAAAUCUAAUAUUUUGUUACAUUUUACAGCAUGUUUUCGAAAAAUCCAAUAUCUUAUAAAAAUUUGUUUCAUUUUUAUGGUAUAUUAUAAAAAAAUCAAGUACAUAUAUACCGCAUUUUUGAAUAAAAAAAUAGGUAGUUUUGGGAACCUAUAACUACUAAAUAUUUAGAAAAAUCAGGUAUACAUUAAAAACUUCUGAAUAUUUAAAAACUUUGUAUCUCGAAUCUUUUGUGUAAUAUAAAAUACUUGAUAAUGCAAAAUGUUUCAUUUGUGCGGACCAUAUCCUGAUGCUUCUCCAUUAGAUUUUACAUAAUUUUUCAGCACCAACGAUUAUGUUUUACUUCCAUGUUUUGUUUUUAACUUGUUCAAUACUUAAUAGGAUUUCGGUAUCUUUGACAUUGAUAAUUCAUUUCGUAUAUGUUGUAAAUGACUGAUAUUUCUCUCCCAAGCUAACGUGUUAGCAUGCGCACAGUCCAUUGGUAAAUAAUAUGGUAUUAUUGUUGUUACUAUUCAUUUUGAUACCGCAAAGAGGAUCAGAGAAAAGAAAGAUAAAUUAAUUAUGGAUUGUGAGUGAGAAAGAAACUACAAAGAAAGAAUUCCUCUAAUGACAUUUAUGUUGGGAGAGUUUUUCAUUAGGAAGCAUUGAAUAUUGUAGAACUCUUUCUUUUCGAGCAACACCUUUGUAAGAGACACAUCACAUAUUCACCCAAAACUUUAAGAUAAUAUGUGGAUGAAUUUUCUCCCUUAUAAAUGCUCAAGUCUCCACAUUUACAACAAAUGUGAGACUAUUACCCACACUACUCACACUUGAUACAUUCUCAACAAUUUAUAGUAUGAAAGUUAAAUGUCAAUUUAUGUUGAGAUUCGGGUCAAGUGGUAGCGGUUGGAAGGUUAUGGUUAGAUGUGAGUUUCACAAUCAUAAAAUAGCUAAGUACUUUAAUGGUCAUUAUGUAUUAGCUCGUUUAAAAGAUGAUGAAAGAUCAAUUAUGAAUGACGUGACAAAAUACAAUAUGGUUCUCAGAUACAUAAUAACUACUUUGAAAGAUAGAGAUCCAAAAAACCUCACUAGUGUUAUCCAUGUGUACAAGGCAAAAUAUAUACAUUUAAAACGAGCAAGAGAGGUCCGUUAAUUGAAAUGCAACAUUGUAUUACAUGUAUAUAUUCUACCUGAUAAAUUUUAUUUAAAAUGUCAAAAACUUAUCGAAUUUUCAAAACUCGCCACUGCCUACCUGAGUUUUCAUAUAUUCCAAAAAUUUGAUAUUUAUCAAAAAUUUCAAAAUAUCCUAUACAUAAUUCUACAGGUUACUGAAUUUUUCAAAAAAUUAGGCAGGCUAAUAAAAUACGGUAUGUCAAUAUAGAAUUUCCGUAUAAAUCUUAGCCAAUUAUUUUUAAAAAAAGUUGACGUGUCAAAUUUUACCAGUGCAUUUCAAAAGCAUCAUAGAUCACCACAUUUAUUUCCAUACACCUGAAAAAACCGAUAGUGUUUAGUUUACGAAAAACUGUAGCGAUUACUCAAAAAAUCUGGUAGAGUUAAUUUUUGACAGUUGGAGAUUUUAACGACGAUACUUUUAUAGAGUAAUGUUAUGUGGUCCAUAUAGAAGUGAUAAAUCGAGAGGAGUGUACAUCAGGAAAUUUACCUCCAGUUAGAUUUAGUUUUCGUAUGAUGGAUAAAUAUCAGGCUGAGUGUUGGAGGAACCAAAAAGCUGUCAACACCGAAUCUCUCACGUGGCUCACCAGUCGACAACUUUGAAUACAAAACCAGAUUCAUUCACCACAUCCCGAGGCCAUAUUUACCAUUCACACUUUUGCUUUUUUAAAAUGCAACUACCACGCCAUUCUAGUACUAGUACAAUUCUAAUUAACCCACCUCAUUGCUCUUUUCCACAUCUCAUAUGACAGAUUAUAAUCUAAACCUGAAACCUGAAACCUGAAAAGGUGUUUUUUCCUCAUGGAAUGGAAUCUCAAUCCCUUAAAAAAGCUUACUACGUAAUCACUUCUUCGCAGAGAGAAAUCACCCUAGACCCCUUUACAGAUUUUUUCAGACAGGCUUUGGUUUUGGAUAAGACAAACUGUGUAAACGAAUUUUAUCAUCAUCAUAUCAUGUCUACAUUUCCACUGUCUUUCCAGCAUUACAAUUUGAUGUAAAGAGGAAGAUUUUAAACCUAAUCUGUAGAACUUUAUUAUAAGCCCGAUGGAUUUUUUCAAAAGUUUCUAGGAAUUCUCAAGGAUGGUGUUAAGUGUUAACUAGAGGAGCUGUCCAAGUACACAACUAUUUCAUGAUCAUUAACUCAUGGAUUAAAAAAUUGAACGAUUGAGGCUCUUUCAAGAAAAGGUUUUCUUUGCCCAAAGAACCCCACUUGGCAAUAGAUAAGGUUUCCAUCUAUCAGCUCAUGAAAUAUUUGAAGAAUGCCUUUUAGAACCCUCAAGAGUCAUCAUAAAGACUAUCAAAAUCAGUUUUCAACAGCCAUUGUAAAAGACGCGCCUAAGAAUGAUAAAUGAGUGUGCCUAAUAUCAGACAAAAAACUAAGAAAACAACAUGAAUAUAAAUAUGUAUAAACUUAAGUCUGCAAACAUUACAGUAUGCGGAAUAAAUAAUACAAUAAUUGUUCUAAUGCACAUUAAAACAACAUAGUUUUUUGUCUCUAUCGAUAAGUAAAUGGACAUCCCAGGAUUCACCCAAACUCUGUAAAAUGAAUGGCACGAGAGCUCAAACCCUCAAUGCAUU